RNAcentral lists this ribosomal RNA (1282 nucleotides) under Curtobacterium oceanosedimentum. RNAcentral describes it as "bacterial SSU rRNA". It matches the Rfam family "Bacterial small subunit ribosomal RNA", at positions 110 to 1403 of the family's 1533-position model. The record is from RNAcentral. Lineage: Bacteria; Bacillati; Actinomycetota; Actinomycetes; Micrococcales; Microbacteriaceae.
GUAACACGUGAGUAACCUGCCCCUGACUCUGGUAUAAGCGUUGGAAACGACGUCUAAUACUGGAUAUGACUGCCGGCCGCAUGGUCUGGUGGUGGAAAGAUUUUUUGGUUGGGGAUGGACUCGCGGCCUAUCAGCUUGUUGGUGAGGUAAUGGCUCACCAAGGCGACGACGGGUAGCCGGCCUGAGAGGGUGACCGGCCACACUGGGACUGAGACACGGCCCAGACUCCUACGGGAGGCAGCAGUGGGGAAUAUUGCACAAUGGGCGAAAGCCUGAUGCAGCAACGCCGCGUGAGGGAUGACGGCCUUCGGGUUGUAAACCUCUUUUAGUAGGGAAGAAGCGAAAGUGACGGUACCUGCAGAAAAAGCACCGGCUAACUACGUGCCAGCAGCCGCGGUAAUACGUAGGGUGCAAGCGUUGUCCGGAAUUAUUGGGCGUAAAGAGCUCGUAGGCGGUUUGUCGCGUCUGCUGUGAAAUCCCGAGGCUCAACCUCGGGCUUGCAGUGGGGUACGGGCAGACUAGAGUGCGGUAGGGGAGAUUGGAAUUCCUGGUGUAGCGGUGGAAUGCGCAGAUAUCAGGAGGAACACCGAUGGCGAAGGCAGAUCUCUGGGCCGUAACUGACGCUGAGGAGCGAAAGCGUGGGGAGCGAACAGGAUUAGAUACCCUGGUAGUCCACGCCGUAAACGUUGGGCGCUAGAUGUAGGGACCUUUCCACGGUUUCUGUGUCGUAGCUAACGCAUUAAGCGCCCCGCCUGGGGAGUACGGCCGCAAGGCUAAAACUCAAAGGAAUUGACGGGGGCCCGCACAAGCGGCGGAGCAUGCGGAUUAAUUCGAUGCAACGCGAAGAACCUUACCAAGGCUUGACAUACACCGGAAACGGCCAGAGAUGGUCGCCCCCUUGUGGUCGGUGUACAGGUGGUGCAUGGUUGUCGUCAGCUCGUGUCGUGAGAUGUUGGGUUAAGUCCCGCAACGAGCGCAACCCUCGUUCUAUGUUGCCAGCGCGUUAUGGCGGGGACUCAUAGGAGACUGCCGGGGUCAACUCGGAGGAAGGUGGGGAUGACGUCAAAUCAUCAUGCCCCUUAUGUCUUGGGCUUCACGCAUGCUACAAUGGCCGGUACAAAGGGCUGCGAUACCGUAAGGUGGAGCGAAUCCCAAAAAGCCGGUCUCAGUUCGGAUUGAGGUCUGCAACUCGACCUCAUGAAGUCGGAGUCGCUAGUAAUCGCAGAUCAGCAACGCUGCGGUGAAUACGUUCCCGGGCCUUGUACACACCGCCCGUCAAGUC